CACACACACACACACACACACACACACACACACACACACACACACACACACACACACACACACACACACACACACACACACACACACACACACACACACGAUCUUCCUGACAGUACUCGCAGGUCAACAAGGAUAACACACUGAAACAUCCAGACCUUCAGACGCCCACCAAUGUUGAUGCUAAGCUGCAUUCCACAAGCCAAUAUUCACUGGAAUAUAUUGACUGCACAUCUCUGACUGUACAUCUCUGACUGCACAUCUCUGACUGCACAUCUCUGACUGCACAUCUCUGACUGCACAUCUCUGGGUAGGAGAGGAGAGCUGAGUCCUUAUUGCCAGGCUGGACAGUCUCUCUGCUGCUUUGACUGGUGUCUUCCAGCCUGGUUGGGAACUAGUAUUACAUGGAAACCUGGUUGAUUUCCUAUAACUCCUGCGUUUUGUGUUUAGACUCCUGUGGCUCAUAUUAUAGUACUACAGCCAUCCACCCAUAUUACAGUGACUGCAACACUCAAGGACUAUUUCAGGAUUUCUUUAUUAAGAUGAAAAGUAUAGGCUUUUGUGUCAAAGGCUGUUUUACCAGUAUUGUAGUUUGAUACUGGAGUCAGGCUAGAGAGGUACUGUUUUUUACUUGAUUUUUAUAACAUAAUGCAUCCUGAAUGAAAUGACAUAUACCCCACACCAUUUACUGGAUGUUAGGUAGGCCUAAUGCAUCCUGAAUUAAAUGACAUAUACCCCACACCAUUUACUGGAUGUUAGGUAGACCUAAUGCAUCCUGAAUUAAAUGCCAUAUACCCCACACGAUUUACUGGAUGUUAGGUAGGCCUAAUGCAUCCUGAAUUAAAUGACAUAUACCCCACACCAUUUACUGGAUGUUAGGUAGACCUAAUGCAUCCUGAAUUAAAUGACAUAUACCCCACACCAUUUACUGGAUGUUAGGUAGACCUAAUGCAUCCUGAAUUAUAUGACAUAUACCCCACACCAUUUACUGGAUGUUAGGUAGACCUAAUGCAUCCUGAAUUAAAUGACAUAUACCCAACACCAUUUACUGGAUGGAAAGAGCUGCCCAAUUAUUUAUUCGACUACUAUAACCUCAUGAACAGAUGAAAACCUCAUCAUCUAACAGAAACCUUUCAGGAAAUAGAAAAAAAGGAACAUAUUUUCCACGAGCUUGCAAUUCUAGAGCUUCACAACCUAUUUUGAAUACAUUUUCUUGGUCCUAGAGUCAUGAAAUGUUCCAGGCACAUUGAGUGGAGUUACUGCAUUUAGUAAAUAUAAAAUAAACAAUGGACAAAAAUGGAGUUACCAGGUUUUCAUCAGACAGCGACAUUAUGAUACAAAUACUUAUACUAUGGCCUUUCAUACAUGGCAUGCAAGGUCAACUCCAAAUUUCCCCAAAACUCUCUAAAUCACAUCUCAAAACAGUCUACUUCCCAGACUAGUUAUUAGUUCCCUAAACCCCAGAAUGUAUAUGACAUUAGUAUAUUUACAUAAUGUUGUGUAAGUCCUCUCACUUCUCCCAGCAGGCAGGAAAAGCCUCCUCCAGUCUACCUGUCUCUCUCUCUCUUACCGUGUCCUGUAUGUAGGCCACUAAAUGUGCAGAUAUAUUACUGCAGAUUGGGAAAUGUAUUCUCAAAGCAAGAAUGAAAAUGCUUUAUUUUUGGAGUGCUUGAGCAGCUCACGUUGUAAAACACUUUGUUGACCUCGGCUGUGUUACUGUUUAACCAAGCACUGCUCUGAUGCUGUCCCUGGACUGGACUAUACCCCCCCCCCACACACACACAUACAUACACACACACACACUAACCUGUUAUUGUUGUUUCUCAAAAACCAACCAAAUGGGGACACUAUUUGUGUACAAGACGCAAGGGGAAAUAUGUCUGUUGAGUUUGUAUUCUAUGACGUAUGCAACAUUACAAAGUCAAUCUGGCCAGACAAACGCCGUGUUUUAGCCAAGAAUAACACACUCUGAGCAAUUCAGGUUUCCACAAACAGCCAAUACAUUAACAUAGUUUAAUACUUUAGCUUAGCACGGUUUGUGGAGAGAUGCUAUCGUAACCUACUGAACCUACUGGGGUGUUGCUGAACGCUUGAAUAAAUUGACUUAUUUUAUUUAGAAAAUAUUUCCCAUUUAAAGAUGUGCUGCUUCUUCCAGCUGAUUUUGAUCAGAUUUUAAUAUGAGCCUCUCUCUCCACCCCCUCUCUCUUUCUCUCUCUCUCUCUUUCUUUCCACGCAG
RNAcentral lists this long non-coding RNA (2233 nucleotides) under Salmo salar (Atlantic salmon). RNAcentral's name for it is "lncRNA (ENSSSAG00000090917.1)". Lineage: Eukaryota; Metazoa; Chordata; Actinopteri; Salmoniformes; Salmonidae. The record is from RNAcentral.